This 253-nucleotide ribosomal RNA is filed under the name uncultured bacterium. RNAcentral's name for it is "partial 16S ribosomal RNA". It matches the Rfam family "Bacterial small subunit ribosomal RNA", at positions 524 to 776 of the family's 1533-position model. The record is from RNAcentral.
UACAGAGGGUGCGAGCGUUGUCCGGAUUUAUUGGGCGUAAAGGGCGCGUAGGCGGAUGGCACAGUCAGAUGUGAAAUUCCCGGGCUUAACCUGGGGGCUGCAUUUGAUACGUGUUGUCUUGAGUUCGGAAGAGGGUCGUGGAAUUCCCAGUGUAGAGGUGAAAUUCGUAGAUAUUGGGAAGAACACCGGUGGCGAAGGCGGCGACCUGGUCCGACACUGACGCUGAGGCGCGAAAGCGUGGGGAGCAAACAGG